Molecule: long non-coding RNA, 2360 nt
Filed under: Citrus maxima (pomelo)
Lineage: Eukaryota; Viridiplantae; Streptophyta; Magnoliopsida; Sapindales; Rutaceae
Description: long non-coding RNA (CMAX_LNC001298)
Source: RNAcentral
GAAGCAUCUAAACUACAUCAAUCCCAAAUUUUCAAAAGAUAUCCUAAAAUAAAUAUUCACCAACAUCAAAAUACUUGUACAAAAAAUCAAAGUCCACCAAAUUCCAGUGGUAAAUCACUUGUAGAGUCUAAGUAGUAAGAGGUCAGCAAUUCUUCUCAGUUCCUUUAAUCACCACCAUUAUUUUUAUUUGCCAUUCAGAUUGCUAUUGUUGCCUCUCCAUUCGCUUAGCGUGCCCUUAAUUGUAGUAUCUACAAAUCCCUUAUAUGCAGCCCUGGAUUAUAGCAACAUGUAGAAAACAAUGUUUAACAAGCAUUUUACUAUUCUCUAAGGGGGCAAAAAAAAAAACAUUUUACUAUUUUCUAAUCAAAGAACCUAUGGCAAGUAUAAUAGAUUUAAAAACUAAGAAUUAACAUAAACAUCUUUCGCUAGUACUCACAUAAAUAUUUAUAUAACCUUAAGCAUCCAAGAACCAAAAGCAAUUUACAUGCUGCACUUAUCAAAUGUACAAUAGAAUAGAGAAAAUGAGAAGAAUUGCAAGCAUAACAAAAAAGGAAAAAGUACAAAAGUGAAGAUUUUAGUGAGAGAAAGAAUUGUCCUCGGUGUAGUUUACUUCCUUAUAAGCCAAUACACAACAUUAAAGGAAACUCAUACUUGGAUGUCAUAAUAAAGACAAAAAUCAACUAAAAAGCUAUUUGUAUUACAGAUUUUGUUGGAUAAUAAGGAUAUAAGGUUGAUAACAAAUUUAGGACUCUAAUGGAAAAGAAACUAUUAUCAAAUUCUCUAAUUUUCCUCUACAGAAAAGGGGCAUAACAUGACUGGUCCAUUUACAAUUCCAAUCAUAUUAAUAGAUUUUAUUUACCAACUAUCUUUGUGAGUUAAAAUAGUCUACAAAACACCAUUAAAAAUACCUAGAAAGGAAUUAAAAAUUUUGAAACUAACACCAUACCUGCAGUCAAGAGCCUUGCAUUUAUAUUCCUUACAAAAGUAAUACAAGUAUGGAGUUAUUUGCACAAAGCAAACCUGUGCAAUGGUAAACCUCAUAAGCCUGAGAAAUGGGUAUAUCACUACAACAUCAAGAAUAGAUCUAGUUUCUAUGCAUUAAAGUUUCUCACCAAACAGAGACAUAACAUGGAAGAUUGCAUCUCAUCUGAAUCAUAAUCAAAUAGUACAAUAUACAAUUUGAAAAUAGAAAUGAGAAAAUCAUGUUGAAGGAGACAAGUUUUAUUUUCAUACUCUAAAUCACCUUAGAAUUGCAAGAGCCCUACUGUAACUUUCCUAAGAAGCCCAAAAUGGAACACCCAAUUAAUUCUUUAAUUAAUAAUCUAUAAUAACCAUAUAAGCUAACAAAAAUUCUACACAUACAUGACUGCUAAAGGACUUUAUAUAAAAAUUAAAGUUAAAAAUGUCACACCAACAGUUUAUGCAGGGCUUCACAAAAAUGAGUUCUAGACCUUCCCCAAAAAAUUGUCAUUUUUCCUUAAAUGGUUUGCCUAAGAUCACGAACCCAAGGCUACAAUUUGACAACAGAGAAUUAAGUUUUCAAUUCAAAGCAUCCAAAAUAUAAACUAACAAAAUUAUAGCUCUUAAUAAUUUCAGUCGUUCGCAAAAUCUACAUUAUUUACAAUAACUCGAGCGGGCAUUCCAGAUUUAUCUUCUACUACAACAUAAAAUGCCGAUUAGUAAUUAAAAGAAGGAAAAUACAAUUGUGAAGAAUUACGGAAGGCUUCUAUUAUUCAACAAUUCAUACGUUCCAAUGCAAAAAGCAAUAAAAAAGAUUUAUGUUGUCUUCCUUUCUAUAUCCAGUAAAUUCAGACAUUAAAAAGAGAAGUUAUAGUUAGUAAUAAUUAAAUCCCAAAAGCUAAUAGAAGAACAGUUCACUCAAAGUUAUACGAAAGGACUACUGGCUUUCUCGUACUCCAAAAAAACAUAGAAAUGGCACAACAUAAAGCCCUUAAUAUAAUAUGCAUCAUAGGUUAAUACACAUAUCUCGUUUAAAUAUCAAUAACAGGUUUUGAAGUAUACAAUUGCAAGCCAAGAAGAAAUAAAUAACCAAAAAAAAGUAAUGCUUUAAUUAUGAGUUCAAUUUGUAGAACAGACUGAUACCUGGGGAAACAUCUCCAUUAAGCACUGAUAGAUUGCAUUGAAACCCAUCUUACAGAGCUAUUGAUCUGUAGAAAUUAAAUUACAACAAAAUUAACUAAUUCCAAUAGCCAAACACAUUAGGUAACAAUCGUAUUUGGUAAAUAAAAAAUCAAACAAAAAUUCGUGUAUAAAAGUUCCAAAGUCAUAAGGGUAUAAUGCAACAACAAAUAAGCACAAUUACGAUACGUAGUUUAACUCCAAACAAACCCAAAAAAAAA